GACCGAUAGUGAACCAGUACCGUGAGGGAAAGUGAAAAGUACUUCGAAUAGAAGGUGAAAUAGAUCCUGAAACCAUACGCUUACAAGCUGUCGGAGCCCUCUUAAUUUUAUUAGGAGUAGGGUGACGACGUGCCUUUUGCAUAAUGAACCUACGAGUUAAUUUUUCCGGCAAGGUUAAGUAGUUCAGCUAUGGAGCCGUACCGAACGCAAGUCUGAAUAGGGCAUUUAGUCAGAACAAUUAUACACCAAACCGAAUGAUCAACGCAUGAUGCAGGUUAAGCUGUGGUAACACAUAGUGGAGGACCGAACCGGUCGACGUUGAAAAGUCUUCGGAUGACUUGUGGGUAGGGGUGAAAGGCUAAUCAAACUCGGAGAUAGCUCGUAUCUCCCAGAAUGCAUUUAGGUGCAGCAGCGUGUUGAAUAUGACAGAGGUAGAGCUACUAGAUUGGAUGAAGGGGUUUCAUCACCUACUAAUUCCUGAUAGACUCCGAUGCUGUUAUUAUGUUUCACUGUAGUGAGGGCAUGGGUGCUAAGAUCCAUGUCCAAGAGGGAAACAACCCAGACCAUCAGUUAAGGUCUCUAAUAUAUAUAAGUUGUAUAAACAAAGUUUAAUUACACAGACAGCCUAGGAUGUUGGCUUAGAAGCAG
RNAcentral lists this ribosomal RNA (648 nucleotides) under Blattabacterium punctulatus. RNAcentral describes it as "bacterial LSU rRNA". It matches the Rfam family "Bacterial large subunit ribosomal RNA", at positions 482 to 1115 of the family's 2925-position model. Lineage: Bacteria; Pseudomonadati; Bacteroidota; Flavobacteriia; Flavobacteriales; Blattabacteriaceae. The record is from RNAcentral.